CUGGGGUUGGAGCUCAGUGGUAGUGUGCUCCCUCACAUGUGGGAGGCGCUGGUUCAAUCCUCAGCACCAUAUA
RNAcentral lists this transfer RNA (73 nucleotides) under Marmota monax (woodchuck). RNAcentral describes it as "tRNA.Val". Lineage: Eukaryota; Metazoa; Chordata; Mammalia; Rodentia; Sciuridae. The record is from RNAcentral.